This 480-nucleotide ribosomal RNA is filed under the name uncultured bacterium. RNAcentral's name for it is "bacterial SSU rRNA". It matches the Rfam family "Bacterial small subunit ribosomal RNA", at positions 325 to 793 of the family's 1533-position model. The record is from RNAcentral.
CACUGUCACUCCUACGGGGAGGCAGCAGUGGGGAAUAUUGCACAAUGGGCGCAAGCCUGAUGCAGCCAUGCCGCGUGUAUGAAGAAGGCCUUCGGGUUGUAAAGUACUUUCAGUCGUGAGGAAGGCGGCGUCGUUAAUAGCGGCGUUGUUUGACGUUAGCGACAGAAGAAAGCACCGGCUAACUCCGUGCCAGCAGCCGCGGUAAUACGGAGGGUGCGAGCGUUAAUCGGAAUUACUGGGCGUAAAGCGCAUGCAGGUGGUUUGUUUAAGUCAGAUGUGAAAGACCCGGGGCUCAACCUCGGAAUUGCAUUUGAAACUAGGCAGACUAGAGUACUGUAGAGGGGGGUAGGAAUUUCAGGUGUAGCGGUGAAAUGCGUAGAGAUCUGAAGGAAUACCGGUGGCGAAGGCGGCCCCCUCGGACAGAUACUGACACUCAGAUGCAAAAGCGUGGGGAGCAAACAGGAUUAGAUACCCUGGUAG